Molecule: long non-coding RNA, 7282 nt
Filed under: Canis lupus familiaris (dog)
Lineage: Eukaryota; Metazoa; Chordata; Mammalia; Carnivora; Canidae
Description: lncRNA (ENSCAFG00845030195.1)
Source: RNAcentral
UUUUUUUUUUUUUUUUUUUAAUGAUACGUCACAGAGAGAGAGAGAGGGGCAGAGACACAGGCAGAGGGAGAUGCAGGCUCCAUGCACCGGGAGCCCGACGUGGAAUUCGAUCCCGAGUCUCCAGGAUCGCGCCCUGGGCCAAGGGCAGGCGCUAAACCGCUGUGCCACCCAGGGAUCCCAUGAAUAAAAUUCUAUUUUAGAAUAAUUUAAGGUAAAGAAUCUUACUUUAAUGAUUCAGUUAAUAGAUAAAUGCAUACUUAAAUAUAAUAAAACAUGCUGUUAUAAUUAUCAAUUUUGAAAAUAAUCUAUGAUGUGAAAAAAAUCAAUAUUCACAAGGAUAAACAUGUUUACUCUGCUAUUGGAAAAGACUUACUGUAAAAUUAUUAUGCUGUAGGAAACCCAUCUCUAUCACAGACUUCUAUCUGGGUAGUCAUACAGAUCCUAUGAACACAGGAACCCAAUUCUAUUAAUAAGAGACACACUAGGGGGAUCCCUGGGAGGCGCAGCGGUUUAGCGCCUGCCUUUGGCCCAGGGCGCGAUCCUGGAGACCCGGAUCGGGUCCCACGUCGGGCUCCUGGUGCAUGGAGCCUGCUUGUGUCUCUGCCUCUCUCUCUUUCUGUGUGACUAUCAUAAAUAAAUAAAAAUUUAAAAAAGAGAGACACGUUAGAACCUCUUCAGGUUAGAAACAAACCUCACAAAGAUUUUUGUUUGAAUUAGAUAUUAGUUGAUUAUAAGUAUUAUCACUUAUAAUAGAGGAAACUCGACUUCUUGGCUUCAGAGACUUAUCAAAAUAAAAAGCCCCUCUUAGCUAAAAUUUUUCAUAUAAUACUUUCAGGGAUAGUCUACCUUAGGUAAAUGCACUUUACAGAUUUUACAGCAGGGGCAAAAAAGCUCAUUUUAAAGAUCUACACUCAAAAAAGAAAAUUAGCAUUACUCCUAAAUUAUAGAUGUUCAUAGCUUGUGAUUUCUUCAUUGAUUCAGAUAUUAUGAAAUGGCGUUUUCAAGUUGGCAGAAAGGGUAACGGGAAGGUGGAUCUCAUUUAUGCUGCUUCAAAAUAUUUAGAGCAUUCGUAAUUUCUCUCCCCCCCCUUUCUCUCUCUCUCACAGACACACACACACACACAAUUAUCUCCUAUAAGUAUAAAUAUCCAGCACAAUAGGAGUAUCAACAGAAUAAUAAUUACCGUAUCUUUUAAAGUUGCUAUAUAUUUUGGAAUAAUAAUAGGUUUUCCUCAGUCUCCUCAGACUUUCACCAUCCUCCAUCUUAUUCCAUUCAUUUUACAAUAGUGCAGAUUAUUGUCCAUUCCAGAGUACUUAGCAAGAAUGUAGGAAACCAGAAGAAUUUCUAAGUCAAAUUCUUAAUGAUAACAUUGUGGUUUCUUUUGACACUUUACUUAUGAGCAAAAUGCUCGUGAUCUUACUCUAAGCACACAAUGGAGACUUAUUGAUUUAACUUAAAAAUAGAUUGACCUCUUUGAAUACAGCAGAAGAAAUAAAGCACCUCUUACUCUUAAGUUUAUUUUGAGAUAACAAGGUAUUCAUAAUGACAUUAUCUUUCUUUGUAGCGCACCAGAUUGGAAUAAGAUGACGUAGUUGAAAUGAAUUCAUAUUCUGGGGUGCAUUCUAUUAAAUAUAGUAUAUUUGAAUUUUGUAAUAAUUAUACAUUGAAAUAAACUCACUAAUCAGUGAAUGAUUAUAACAAGUAACAAUACAUUUCAAAUAAGCAUGCUUAGCUUAUUUAUUUGACUCUGAAAUCAAAAUUUCGAGACAGACUUCCUUGAUUUAUGAUGGGGUUAUAUCCUGAUUAACCUAUCAUAAAUUAAAAAUGUCAUAAGUUGAAACGCACUUGUACACCUAACCUACUGACCACUAUAGCUUAGUUUUAGCCCAACUUAAAUGUGCCCAGACCACUUACGUUAGUCUAUAGUUGGAUAAAAUCCUUUAAUAAUGUUGAUUGUCUCAUGUAAUUUAUUGAAUACUGUACUGAAAGUGAAAUAGAUUGGCCAUGCGGCUUAAGAAUGGUUGUCAGUGUAUCAGUUGUUUACUCUUGUGAUGGCAUUACAGACCAGGAGCUGUGGCUCACUGCUACUCCCUGGCAUUAGGGGAGAGGACUGUGCUACAUAUUAUCAGCCUGGGGAAAGAUUCAAAUUCAAAAUUUGAAGUAUGGUUUUUAUUCAAUGUGUAUAGCGUUCACACGAUUGCGCGUAGGGUAUCAUAUGCAUAUAAUGAAUUCUGAGAUAAUUAGGGUUUUAAUAUUACCAUAUUCUUCUGUUGCAGACACAAAUUAUGGUUAUUAUGGGUAAAAAAAAAAGGAGAUCUUUGAAUGAGAAGCCAUUUGAUUAAAUUCCAAGUUUUUCUGUAUUUAUUAAUCAUGGCUAAUCUCAUAUGCUGUUCUCAAGAUUAUAAUUAGGGAUAUGCUGGACAAAAAUGGAGUGGGAUGGUCUGAAGUAAAUGCAAACAAUUCUUAUGGGCAAAAUUUCAGAUAGAAUGUGUGAGAAUACACGUCAGUUUAUGAUAGUGCAGAUAGAUAUAAAUUAUGAUAUAAUUAUGCUAUUAAAUAAAUGAAAUGAGGCAUCAGGGACGACAUGCUACAAACACAACUGCAAGGCAAUCAGCUGUCCCACCUUCACAAACAGAUUUGAGGAAUGACAGGAAAUUUUUGAUUGCCGAUGUUUUCAACCUUGCCAAAAAAGGAAGAUACAAAUGUAUAGAAACUUCCUUGCAAGUUAAUGAGGAAAAAUGGUCCAUUUUCAUUUCUCUUCUAUCAGAUUCUCUCGUUUUGAGAUGUGGUUUUCUAGAGACGAUGAUGGUAAUGACAGAAGUUUAUAGAACUCUUUCAAUUUUCACUUAUUCUAGUAAAUUCCUCCUUCUAUAUUGUUCUUACUUGUGCUUAUGUUCAACUGUGAAAGGUCAUGUGAAGGUUAGAAAUUAUUUGCUCAAUAAAAUAAACUUUUCCUAUUUUUCCCCAAUUGUUUCUUUAAGAAUACCAGCCAUUGCUACUCCUUUCCAUUUGUCACUGCCCUGAUCACACUGUAGACUCAUUUUAUAAUCCCAAAUACUGUUGAAGUCUGUUGUAUUAAAAAUAGAUUUAAUCUCAACCCGUAGAAUGCAGAGGUCUCAAUGGUUACCAUAUGUCUUUGCAGUGUCAAUUCAUACAUGUAUUUACACAUAUCAACCUAGAACAAUUAGCUACAAUUGGGUUGUUAGAUCAUUGGCUUGAAUGAAUCCCUGGAAUGUCUAGUAUUUAAUCUUUCUUCCCCACUUCUAAUUUGGUUUUUAUCUAAAGUAAUAACUCCAAAUUCAUACCCUGAGUAGAAGAAAGUAAAACAAUACAUUCUCAAUCCCAAAUGCAGUUAUUGAUUCUUUUUUAAAAAAUAUUUUAUUUAGGGGAUCCCUGGGUGGAUCAGCGGUUUGGUGCCUGCCUUUGGCCCAGGGCAUGAUCCUGGAGUCCCAGGAUCGAGUCCCGCGUUGGGUGCCAGCCAUGGAGCCUGCUUCUCCCUCUGCCUGUGUCUCUGCCUCUCUCUCUCUGUCUCUCAUGAAUGAAUGAAUGAAUGAAUGAAUAAAUAAAUAAAUAAAUCUUUUUUUUUAAUAAAUAAAUCUUUAAAAAACAUUUUAUUUAUUUAUUCAUGAGAGAGAGAGAGAGAGAGAGAGAGGCAGAGACACAGAGGGAGAAGCAGGUUUCAUGCAGGAAGCCUGAUGUGGGACUCGAUCCCAGAGUCCUGGGAUAAUGCCUUGAGCCAAAGGCAGACGCUCAACCACUGAGCCACCCAAGCGUCCCGAGUUAUUGAUUCUUUUACUAGCGCCUGUCUCCCAGUUUCAUCUUGACCAACUCAGUUGUGAAUGUUUUUGCUAUAUAAUCAAUUGCUCUAAUCUAGGACUCAUGCUUGUUGUCUCUUUUUCUCUCACCCUCUACAUUCAAUCAAUUAUUAAGUCCUUUUGAUUCUGCCUCCAAUAGAUUGCAAAUCCACGUCAGUGGUCCCAUCCUGGUCUAGGACAUCAUAUCUUUCUCUCUUGGAAAUCUUCAAGUGUCUCCUCCUAAAUGCUCUUUCCACUUCUAGUCUUACUUCCCACUAAUUCAUUCUCCAUAAAGCACUUAUCUUAAAACAUAAAUGCAAUUACCAUACACUUUUGCUUAAAAGCAUCCAGUGGCUUCCAAUGGCAUUUACAAUGAAAUCCAAUACACUUGUUAUGGACUACAAAGCUUACUUCAUUUCAAGCCCCUCUCCUUUUUACGUACUAUGCCCCUGCUACACUAACAUUCUUUUAUUUCUUUGGACAUUCCAAGCUCCUCCUUAAUUCAGAAUCUAGAAGUCCCAUUAUACUGUCUUUCUAUCUCCAUUUCUUCAUGUAGUGAACUCAUCUUUCAUGUAAAGUUAUUAGAUUAAUUAUCAAUUUCUGUAUUCAUUAUUCUACAUUUGAGAAUAUUUUCCUUCAUGACAUUUUUCAAAGGUGAGAUUUAUUUUGCACGUUUAAUUCUUUUUUCCCCAUUAAACUGUGAAAUAAGUAAGAUAAAAACUUUGUCAGCUCUGCCAUUGUGAGAUAAGUUAGACAUUUUCUUAGCACAGAGUGAAUUCUUCCUAAAUUUUUUAAUGGAAAGAAGGAAAGAGAGAGAAAAGAAAGGAUGGAGAGAGAGAUGGUUGGAAAAGGAAUGUGUUUGAUAAACAAAUGUUUGAUUUAGCAAAAGAAACCCAGUAAUCUGUCUAGCUCAUAUACAAUUGUUUUUCUAGAUAGCAAAAAUUUACAGGUAUCUGCUACUGCCAGAUGUUGUGCCAGGAACUAGAAAAUAUUUCUGUUUUUCAUAGGGGAACUCUAACGUUACUUUAAGAGUUCAGUGAAGUAAAUAUACCACUGAAUAGGUCAACAGAAAUAAAAGAAAAAAUAGACUAUUUCGUGUGUCCAAUCAUUUUAUCCUGAAGUCCAUUCUUCAUCUAUGUACCAAAGCUUUUUUGUUAUAUAUUUUUUUCAGACUUUAUCUCUUUUUGGUCUUUUUAAAGGGUGUUCGUGCUCUCAGAUUAUAAUUUUAUUGUAUUAUUCAAUCUUUUAAUUUUGAGUUCAGACUAUGCAUAAUAAAACAAUGUACAUGUGUAUAAUUCUUUAGUUUAUACCACUUUCCUUCAUGUAGCAUGUUAAUUACACAUCUUUGAACUCUUUUGCCCCCAAGCGCUGAAAUCUCUGUGAAAAACAAGUCAAGUGCCAGUAUUUAACUGGCAUCAAUUACUUGUGUCUGUGAUAUGUCUCAACCGCAUUGUUCCCUUUAACUAUCAUUUACCUUCAGGGAUACCUUCAUAAAUCAAAUCCUGAAGUAUUUGUGUAAAUCAUGCUGUAUUUCACAGGUAAACAUUAAUAAACUUGUUAUUUAACUAUUUGAAAUGGCUAGUGGAGGAUCAAACCUAUCAAUGCUACAUACAGUCUUUGUACCAAUCAUCAAGAUACCUUUCUGGUUUCACCACUGCUCCCCCUGCUCUAAUUACCCGACAUAGAUCAGUAACUUAGUAAAAGUGAAAAUCACCUAAUUAGCUUUUAAUUAGCACACACUCCAUAUUUCAUCAUCUUUGGCUAUCUAAAAUAGACAAGCAGAUCUAAAAGAAGAAAAAAAAAAAGCUCUUUCUUAAAAAAAACAGAUACAAACACCACACUCUCCAAAUAUAUGAAAGUAAAUAAAAUACCAUUUUUAGCCUUAAGGAUUUUAACCAAUAAGCCCUAUAUUUUUCUCAUCAGAUUUUUCACUAUUAUAAAGAUUUUUAAAUGAUUGCUAAUUAUUAAAAACAACCUAUUAUAUAUAUGGUUUCUUUCAUACUUCCAUUGCUUAGGAGUUACUCCGAAGUUAAUGAUGGCUUGUAUUAUGGACCUAGAGAUUUUUUUUUUAAAUGGUCAAAAUUGGGUACGUGAAUAUGAAAUUAUCGAACUUUCCAUUUUAAGUGAUUAUCCAAUUAUGUUUCAUUACGUUUCUUAAGUAUUUCAACUAUUCUGGAGACAGUUGAAGGUAUUUAAAUCAAGAUGAAUACUUCUUCACAUGCAAUUCAAACCAUGCAUAAUAGAAAACAUGCAAUUCAAACCAUGCACAAUAGAACAAAACAGUCUGUGGCAAGCAUAUACACAUUUGCAUAAUUGACUCCGAAUCUUAAGGAAGACUUAAUACUGAUUUUUACACUAUUAUUCCUAUCAAGCACAAAACAGGUAUGCGAUGAACUUCUGUGUCAUGGAAAACUUUAUACAUAUACAUGUCUAUACAUAAAUCUCAAGGCAAAUAAAAUCUCAAUGUAGUACAUAAUAUUCUGUAGUUAAUCCUUUAGACUAUAUUUUAUCAUGGCUGUUAUGUGUUUAUGCAAUUUAUUAAACAUGACAUUUUGGAGACAACUAAGUACAUUUUAUUAAUUUUAUUUGAAUGCUAAGACUAAAUUCUGAGUUUUUUUUAAUGAUUCUGUAGAUUAUUUAUUUUGCAGGCUUCACUUAAUAUAUGCUGGAAAUAAAUUAUCAGAAUACAUUAAGAGUUAAAGUCAAAUUUUGAUCUUGUUAUGCUGCUGAAUGUUCAUUUCAAAAUUGUAACUGAUGGCCACAUAACUGAUGGUGGUGUGUGACACAGAGUAGACAAUACAUAAAUACGUAUCUAAAUUUUAUAAAAUCCUACAAAUUGCUUAUAAGUAGCCACAUUAAACUAUUAAACAAACAUCAGUCUUUUCAUAUUUAUUUAUGAAUUUUAUGAUACAGUUAAAACAUACACAGAGUAAUUAAAUUACUAUUCUAAUGAAAAGCUAUCCAGCAAACUCUCUUAAAUACAAGGUAAUAACAAUAUCCUUACAAUUUAACAAUAGAAUGAUAUCCUUAAAACCUGAAGAAGAAUAAGUAUAAAAGGUUAAGCAACAAAGCUUUUAGAGAAACCAUAGGAAAAUAUCUUAGCAACCAUGGCAAAGGCAAAGAUUUCUCUCUUUUUUAAAUAUUUCUUAAAUAGGAAUAGGACACAAGAAGCCCUAAUCAGACAAGAAAUAAACCUAAUUGAGAAUUUGAAUAUCUAUCCAAAGACACCUCUAGGAGAGUACUAAAGAAAAAUCCAACAAAUGUUUUAAUAUAUAGCAGAAAUAUCCAGUGGUGUGCCAGAAAAUGUUUAGCAACUAACUUUCCUGUUUUUUUUUUUUUUGUCUCUUUGUUUGUUUUAGUGUUUCCCAGUGUGUAUGUGGUGUAAAACCUUCUACCAAGACAUAUUUUCAAACUACCAAGCAGCUCUCAAAAUUCCUGACACUUUAACAGUUGGCUCUUGUGAAUCAGCCAGCUCCAUCACAGAGGAU